This 256-nucleotide ribosomal RNA is filed under the name uncultured bacterium. Its description in RNAcentral is "partial 16S ribosomal RNA". It matches the Rfam family "Bacterial small subunit ribosomal RNA", at positions 521 to 776 of the family's 1533-position model. The record is from RNAcentral.
UAAUACGAAGGGGGCUAGCGUUGUUCGGAUUUACUGGGCGUAAAGCGCACGUAGGCGGCUUGUUAAGUGAGGGGUGAAAUCCUGGAGCUCAACUCCAGAACUGCCUUUCAUACUGGCAAGCUAGAGUCCGGAAGAGGUGAGUGGAACUCCUAGUGUAGAGGUGGAAUUCGUAGAUAUUAGGAAGAACACCAGUGGCGAAGGCGGCUCACUGGUCCGGUACUGACGCUGAGGUGCGAAAGCGUGGGGAGCAAACAGG